UACGGAGGGUGCGAGCGUUAAUCGGAAUUACUGGGCGUAAAGGGUGCGUAGGUGGUUUGGUAAGUUAUCUGUGAAAUUCCUGGGCUUAACCUAGGCGGGUCAGAUAAUACUGCUGGACUUGAGUAUGGGAGAGGGUAGUGGAAUUUCCGGUGUAGCGGUGAAAUGCACAGAGAUCGGAAGGAACACCGGUGGCGAAGGCGGCUCACUGGCUCAUUACUGACGCUCAGGCGCGACAGCGUGGGGAUCAAACAGG
This 253-nucleotide ribosomal RNA is filed under the name uncultured bacterium. RNAcentral describes it as "partial 16S ribosomal RNA". It matches the Rfam family "Bacterial small subunit ribosomal RNA", at positions 524 to 776 of the family's 1533-position model. The record is from RNAcentral.